UGAGUAACCUGCCCUUCAUUCUGGGAUAACUCCGGGAAACCGGGGCUAAUACUGGAUAUGACUCGAACAGGCAUCUGUUUCGGGUGGAAAGAUUUAUUGGUGGAGGAUGGACUCGCGGCCUAUCAGCUUGUUGGUGAGGUAAUGGCUCACCAAGGCGACGACGGGUAGCCGGCCUGAGAGGGCGAUCGUCGACCACACGUGGGACUGACGACCGACCCGGCCCAAGUACCCUUACCCGGUAC
Molecule: ribosomal RNA, 242 nt
Filed under: uncultured bacterium
Lineage: Bacteria
Description: partial 16S ribosomal RNA
Rfam family: Bacterial small subunit ribosomal RNA (bases 1-193)
Source: RNAcentral